Molecule: non-coding RNA, 72 nt
Organism: Bos taurus (domestic cattle)
Lineage: Eukaryota; Metazoa; Chordata; Mammalia; Artiodactyla; Bovidae
Source: Rfam
UCCCAGCUGGCUGAGACAGUAAAGAAUCUGCCUGCAAUGCAGGAGACCUGGCUUCCAUCCCUGGGUUGGGAA